CUGAUUCAGCCCAGCUGCAACCACUCACUUCAUCUUCACCGCCUGCCUACUUAAGGAGCUCUUGGACCAGUAUUCAUCGCCAGUCCGUUGCCCCUGAUGGAAACCCCAAGCCACGAGUGGUUGCCUGAAUCAGCCAUUGUCUGGAAAACUCAUCUGGUCUGUUCCAUCCAACCUCACCACGAGCCUCUGCCGAACCGCCAACUUCUCGGGUCUCCUCCUACGCUGCUGACUCCGGACCCUAAGGACAAAUCCACCAGUGACGCCACAGGAAUCUGCCUCUCGCUCUCCGGACCUCCAGGAACUGUGCUCUCCCCUUCUGACCUGAUUAUUAAAUCCGCUUAAUCGCCA
Molecule: long non-coding RNA, 348 nt
Organism: Oryzias latipes (Japanese medaka)
Lineage: Eukaryota; Metazoa; Chordata; Actinopteri; Beloniformes; Adrianichthyidae
Source: RefSeq, a predicted model, not a curated record